Molecule: ribosomal RNA, 668 nt
Filed under: Sporobolus spiciformis
Lineage: Eukaryota; Viridiplantae; Streptophyta; Magnoliopsida; Poales; Poaceae
Description: eukaryotic LSU rRNA
Rfam family: 5.8S ribosomal RNA (bases 241-396)
Source: RNAcentral
ACCUGCGGAAGGAUCAUUGUCGUGACCCUAACAAAAUAGACUGUGAAUGUGUCAUCCAUUGCGUCGGGUGAUGGUCUUUGCACCGUCUCCCGGCAUAGGCCCUUGUCCUUCUGAUGGAGGGGAGGGCCCCAAAAGAACCCACGGCGUCGGAUGGCGUCAAGGAACACUGAUGUUGCUUGCACAGGGCUACGGUUGGCCUGCUGAACGAGCCUUGUGCUGCGAUGCUACCUGAAUCCAAAAGACUCUCGGCAACGGAUAUCUUGGCUCUCGCAUCGAUGAAGAACGUAGCAAAAUGCGAUACCUGGUGUGAAUUGCAGAAUCCCGUGAACCAUCGAGUUUUUGAACGCAAGUUGCGCCUGAGGCCUCUUGGUCGAGGGCACGUCUGCCUGGGCGUCACGACAAAAGACACUCCCCCCUGCACAAUCCUGGUGUGGGAUGUGGCAUUUGGCCUUCCAUUCCACUUUGGAGGUGUGGUAGGCUAAAGUAAGUGGUUGCUGGCUAUGGUGCCAGUCACAGCACUUGGUGGACGACACACGUUGUUCUCGGAGUUGUGACUUGUACUGCUUUCGGCGACUUGGCCCCUUGGACCCAUGGAUGGAGCAUCAAUUGCUUCCACCGCGACCCCAGGUCAUUCGGAAUUACCCGCUGAAUUUAAGCAUAUCAAUAAG